ACCAGCAGAAGUAACAAUAACAUCUAGCUGAACCACUCUAUCUCAGCAGAAAAUCUGGGAGGGAGAAGAAAUGUCUCCAUGCUUCUCUUCUGGCUUCCUUGGUUAGGUCCAAAGGGUUGGGGGCAAGACACUUGGGAAAAAAGAAUUCCCUCUGACAUUUGGGGGAUUCACUGAGGACAACUCUUCCAUGAUAAUGCUUCACCCCGUUACGAUCUGUUUUGCUAUUAAUUGGCCACACCUAAUAACAAGCCUGCCAGGAACUUCACCAAUUCCCGCUCAGUUUUGCUACGGAACACACGGCAUCCAGCUAGAAAGUUUUUCCACUAUGAACUGUGCUUUCAAGGAAGGUGAUUCACAAAUGAAAGACGGAAAAUAUAAUCCUGAAAAAAUGAGAAAA
Molecule: long non-coding RNA, 397 nt
Organism: Passer domesticus (house sparrow)
Lineage: Eukaryota; Metazoa; Chordata; Aves; Passeriformes; Passeridae
Exons: 2
Source: RefSeq, a predicted model, not a curated record